UACGUAGGGUGCGAGCGUUGUCCGGAAUUACUGGGCGUAAAGAGCUCGUAGGUGGUUUGUCGCGUCUGCUGUGAAAACCCGAGGCUCAACCUCGGGCCUGCAGUGGGUACGGGCAGACUAGAGUGCGGUAGGGGAGAUUGGAAUUCCUGGUGUAGCGGUGGAAUGCGCAGAUAUCGGGAGGAACACCAGUGGCGAAGGCGGUUGCCUGGAGCUUUGCUGACGCUGAGGCGCGAAAGCGUGGGGGAGCGAACAGG
This 254-nucleotide ribosomal RNA is filed under the name uncultured bacterium. RNAcentral describes it as "partial 16S ribosomal RNA". It matches the Rfam family "Bacterial small subunit ribosomal RNA", at positions 524 to 776 of the family's 1533-position model. The record is from RNAcentral.